UAGGAAGUACUUAUGUUGCCAGUUAAAGGCCGUGAGCGCUAUAACAUGUUAAAAAAGAUAAAUGAUGCAUUAGAACUGGCUGAAAAAGAGGCUAAAAACAAAACCAGGGCUUCUAAGGAACUGCUGCCGUCCAGUGGAAAGCGCGUCUUGCAAAAAGCAGAACGAAGCGACAGCGACUAGUUGCAAUCUGCCUUCUUUUAACCGCCAUGUUAUGUUCAGUGUUGCUUCCUGGCCAACAUCCCUCAGCAGGAGGCUGCACGAUCAUCGAGUUCAGAUGAACUGCGCGACCCCAGCCCCCUGUACCUCCCCGUCCCUCGUCCUGCCGGGGUCCGGCGCGACCCCAGCCCACGGAACCUCCCCGUCCCUCGUCCUGCCGGGGUCCGGCGCGACCCCAGCCCCCUGUACCUCCCCGUCCCGCAUCCUCCCGGGGUCAGGCGCUAACCCAGCCCCCUGUACCUCCCCGUCAGGCGUCUUGCCGGGGUCCGGCGCGACCCCAUUUUUUUUUGUUUUUUAUUUUUCCUUCUCCUUUCCUCCCCUUUACCUCCACCCGUGCCACAGGCCCACUGAUGAUGAACAUGAUGAUGAUGACGAACAUGAUGAUGAUGAUGAUGAUGAUGAUGAUGAUGAUGAUGAUGAUGAUGAUGCAAGCAGACAGCUGCGUGCAAGGGCUGACCAUUUUAAACGAAAAAUAAAACAGACCAAACAGGCAAAAA
Molecule: long non-coding RNA, 713 nt
Organism: Betta splendens (Siamese fighting fish)
Lineage: Eukaryota; Metazoa; Chordata; Actinopteri; Anabantiformes; Osphronemidae
Exons: 4
Source: RefSeq, a predicted model, not a curated record